This 765-nucleotide long non-coding RNA is filed under the name Monodelphis domestica (gray short-tailed opossum). RNAcentral describes it as "lncRNA (ENSMODG00000046747.1)". The record is from RNAcentral. Lineage: Eukaryota; Metazoa; Chordata; Mammalia; Didelphimorphia; Didelphidae.
CACAGCUAGGGAGUAUCUAAGGUUUGAUUUAAACCCAGAACCUACCACUUCUGAACCUGGCUCUCAGUAUUUGUAUCUUUUCAAAAGAGAGACCGUGAAAUAUACUGCUGUGUACUGUGGGUGUGUUUACUUCAGAUUUUUUUAGCAGCUUUCUCCCCUUAUAGUUGGAGAUGUUCUGCUGCUCUUCAUUCCCUUUGGCACACUUUCUUCUUUCUGCUAGUAGCUAUGGAAACACAGAUGUCCCUGGUUUGGGUAGACCUCAGCAACAUCCACACCAUGGAUCCCAAAUCAAUUUGGAUAGUCGGGAAGGGACCAGUGUCUGGGCUAGGGAUAAUGUUUCAGAUGGUAAAACUGAAGCACAGAGUGGUAAUUGACUUCACUCAGAAUCAAGAAGUGAUGUGGGGCUCCCUCAAGUCUCCAUCUCCACAUGGAAGUCCUGGUGGCAUCUUCAGCCAGAGGUUCAUCAACUUAAGCCUCUUCCUUCAGCUCCAGUCACUCAACCAGCAAAUCUCUCCAGAGCAGAAAGCUCCAGUUCAGAAUGAUUCCUGGAAAAGCACAUCCUGUGAUCAACUUGGAAAGAAUUCAAUCUUUCUACAGUUUCCAGUUCAUGAAAUGGCUGCAUUCAAUGAUGUGGAACUCCUGUUUUCUGCAAAAAAGCUGUGGGUGGGGAGCAUUUGAAAGUACAAGCCUAGUGUUUAAACCCUGUUGGGAGAAUGGGGAGAACAUUUGAUUAGCCAGGUCAACCCUUCGGGGACUUACUCUUGG